GGGUUGUGAGGUUAAGCGACUAAGCGUACACGGUGGAUGCCCUGGCAGUCAGAGGCGAUGAAGGACGUGCUAAUCUGCGAUAAGCGUCGGUAAGGUGAUAUGAACCGUUAUAACCGGCGAUUUCCGAAUGGGGAAACCCAGUGUGUUUCGACACACUAUCAUUAACUGAAUCCAUAGGUUAAUGAGGCGAACCGGGGGAACUGAAACAUCUAAGUACCCCGAGGAAAAGAAAUCAACCGAGAUUCCCCCAGUAGCGGCGAGCGAACGGGGAGGAGCCCAGAGCCUGAAUCAGUGUGUGUGUUAGUGGAAG
This 310-nucleotide ribosomal RNA is filed under the name Escherichia coli. RNAcentral's name for it is "bacterial LSU rRNA". It matches the Rfam family "Bacterial large subunit ribosomal RNA", at positions 1 to 306 of the family's 2925-position model. Lineage: Bacteria; Pseudomonadati; Pseudomonadota; Gammaproteobacteria; Enterobacterales; Enterobacteriaceae. The record is from RNAcentral.